Sapajus apella (tufted capuchin) is the source of this 101-nucleotide long non-coding RNA. RefSeq lists it as uncharacterized. The transcript has 3 exons. The record is from RefSeq and is a predicted model, not a curated record. NCBI's taxonomy places the organism in Eukaryota, Metazoa, Chordata, Mammalia, Primates, Cebidae.
AAGGAUGUUUCAACAUAUAUAAAUUAAUAAAGGUGAUACAUCGCAUUAACAGAAUGAAGGACUAAAAUCAUAUGAUCAUGUCAGUUGCAGAUUUGGCAUAU